This 392-nucleotide ribosomal RNA is filed under the name uncultured bacterium. RNAcentral describes it as "partial 16S ribosomal RNA". It matches the Rfam family "Bacterial small subunit ribosomal RNA", at positions 523 to 918 of the family's 1533-position model. The record is from RNAcentral.
AUACGGAGGAUCCGAGCGUUAUCCGGAUUUAUUGGGUUUAAAGGGUGCGCAGGCGGCCAUUUAAGUCAGCGGUUAAAUCGUGGGGCUCAACCCCAUUCUGCCGUUGAUACUGGGUGUCUUGAUUGCGGUCGAGGUUGGCGGACUUCGUUGUGUAGCGGUGAAAUGCAUAGAUAUGACGAAGAACACCGAUUGCGUAGGCAGCUGACCAGACCGCAAAUGACGCUCAUGCACGAAAGUGCGGGGAUCGAACAGGAUUAGAUACCCUGGUAGUCCGCACAGUAAACGAUGAAUACUUGUUUUCGGCGAUAUAAUGUCGGAGGCAAAGCGAAAGCGAUAAGUAUUCCACCUGGGGAGUACGCCGGCAACGGUGAAACUCAAAUGAAUUGACGGGG